GUCGAGCGAGAAAGGUUUUCGGACUGAGUAAAGCGGCGGACGGGUGAGUAACGCGUAGGAAUCUACCCAGUAGUGGGGGACAACUUAGGGAAACUUAAGCUAAUACCGCAAACGCCCUGAGGGGGAAAGCGGGGGAUCUUCGGACCUCGCGCUAUUGGAAGAGCCUGCGUUAGAUUAGCUAGUUGGUGGGGUAAAGGCUCACCAAGGCGACGAUCUAUAGCUGGUCUGAGAGGAUGAUCAGCCACACUGGGACUGAGACACGGCCCAGACUCCUACGGGAGGCAGCAGUGGGGAAUAUUGCGCAAUGGGCGAAAGCCUGACGCAGCCAUGCCGCGUGUGUGAAGAAGGCCUUCGGGUUGUAAAGCACUUUCAAUUGGGAGGAAGGGUUUAACGUUAAUAGCGUUGAAUCUUGACGUUACCUUUAGAAGAAGCACCGGCUAACUCCGUGCCAGCAGCCGCGGUAAUACGGAGGGUGCGAGCGUUAAUCGGAAUUACUGGGCGUAAAGCGCGCGUAGGCGGUUUGUUAAGUCGGAUGUGAAAUCCCCGGGCUCAACCUGGGAACUGCACCCGAUACUGGCCGACUUGAGUGCGAGAGAGAGAGGUAGAAUUCCAUGUGUAGCGGUGAAAUGCGUAGAUAUAUGGAGGAAUACCGGUGGCGAAGGCGGCCUCCUGGCUCGACACUGACGCUGAGGUGCGAAAGCGUGGGUAGCAAACAGGAUUAGAUACCCUGGUAGA
RNAcentral lists this ribosomal RNA (735 nucleotides) under uncultured Gammaproteobacteria bacterium. RNAcentral describes it as "bacterial SSU rRNA". It matches the Rfam family "Bacterial small subunit ribosomal RNA", at positions 61 to 794 of the family's 1533-position model. Lineage: Bacteria; Pseudomonadati; Pseudomonadota; Gammaproteobacteria. The record is from RNAcentral.